AACUACUGCUAUUGGAGUUCGAUUAAGCCAUGCGAGUCUAAGGGGUACUUGUACCCCUGGCAUAAUGCUCAGUAACACGUGGAUAAUCUACCCUUAGGUGGGGCAUAAACCCGGGAAACUGGGGCUAAUUCCCCAUAGAUACAGAACGCUGGAAUGCCUCUGUAUUCAAAGCUCCGGCGCCUAAGGAUGAGUCUGCGACCUAUCAGGUAGUAGUCAGGGUCACGACCUGACUAGCCAACGACGGGUACGGGGUGUGAGAGCACUUGCCCGGAGAUGGUUUCUGAGACACGAAACCAGGCCCUACGGGGCGCAGCAGGCGCGAAAACUUCGCAAUGCGGGAAACCGUGACGAGGGAACUCCAAGUGUCUAUGCAAUGCAUAGACUGUUUUUCAGCCUAAAUAGCUGUUAGAGUAAGGGGUGGGGUAAGACCGGUGCCAGCCGCCGCGGUAACACCGGCACCCCAAGUGGUAGCCACUAUUAUUGGGCCUAAAGCGUUCGUAGCCGGUUUAGUAAAUUCUUGGGUAAAUCGUACAGCUUAACUGUGCGGAUUCCGGGGACACUACUAGACUUGAGACCGGGAGAGAUUAGAGGUACUUGCAGGGGAGCGGUGAAAUGUUGUAAUCCUGCAGGGACCACCAGUGGCGAAGGCGUCUAAUCAUAACGGCUCUGACGGUGAGGAACGAAACCCUGGGGCGCAAACGGGAUUAGAUACCCCGGUAGUCCAGGGCGUAAACGCUGCUGACUUGGUGUUUGGAGAUCCUACGAGGGUGUCCAGUGCUGGCGCGAAGGUAUUAAGUCAGCCGC
Molecule: ribosomal RNA, 804 nt
Filed under: uncultured marine archaeon
Lineage: Archaea
Description: bacterial SSU rRNA
Rfam family: Archaeal small subunit ribosomal RNA
Source: RNAcentral